RNAcentral lists this ribosomal RNA (406 nucleotides) under uncultured bacterium. RNAcentral's name for it is "bacterial SSU rRNA". It matches the Rfam family "Bacterial small subunit ribosomal RNA", at positions 32 to 417 of the family's 1533-position model. The record is from RNAcentral.
AAUCAACGCUGGCGGCGUGCCUCAGACAUGCAAGUCGAACGCGAAAGUUUCCUUCGGGAAGCAAGUAGAGUGGCGUCCGGGUGAGUAACACGUAGGUAAUCUACCUUUGGGUGGGGAAUAACAACCGGAAACGGUUGCUAAUACCGCAUAAUGCAGCGGCAUCACAUGAUGACAGUUGUUAACGCGGGGGAUCGCAAGACCUCGCGCCUAAAGAGGAGCCUGCGGCGGAUUAGCUAGUUGGUAGGGUAACGGCCUACCAAGGCAACGAUCCGUAGCCGGCCUGAGAGGGCGGUCGGCCACACUGACACUGAAAUACGGGUCAGACUCCUACGGGAGGCAGCAGUGGGGAAUCUUGCGCAAUGGGCGAAAGCCUGACGCAGCGACGCCGCGUGAGGGAUGACGGCCU